This 323-nucleotide ribosomal RNA is filed under the name uncultured Bacteroidota bacterium. RNAcentral's name for it is "bacterial SSU rRNA". It matches the Rfam family "Bacterial small subunit ribosomal RNA", at positions 28 to 351 of the family's 1533-position model. Lineage: Bacteria; Pseudomonadati; Bacteroidota. The record is from RNAcentral.
GAUGAACGCUAGCUACAGGCUUAACACAUGCAAGUCGAGGGGUAGCAGGGUAGCAAUACCGCUGACGACCGGCGCACGGGUGAGUAACACGUAUCCAACCUUCCCAUCACUCGGGGAUAGCCUUUCGAAAGAAAGAUUAAUACCCGAUAGUACUUUUUUGAGGCAUCUUGAGAAAGUUAAAGAUUUAUUGGUGAUGGAUGGGGAUGCGUUCCAUUAGAUUGUUGGUGAGGUAACGGCUCACCAAGUCUUCGAUGGAUAGGGGUUCUGAGAGGAAGGUCCCCCACAUUGGUACUGAGACACGGACCAAACUCCUACGGGAGCAG